UACCAGCUCUCCGAGUGGUAGGGAUGAUUAUUGGGCUUAAAGCGUCCGUAGCCGGCUAAGCAAGUCUCCUGUUAAAUUCAGCGACCUAAUCGUUGAGCCGCGGGAGAUACUACUAGGCUAGGAGGCGGGAGAGGUCAACGGUACUUCCGGGGUAGGGGUGAAAUCCUAUAAUCCCGGGAGGACCACCAGUGGCGAAGGCUGUUGACUAGAACGCGCUCGACGGUGAGGGACGAAAGCUGGGGGAGCGAACCGGAUUAGAUACCCGGGUAGUCCCAGCUGUAAACGAUGCGAGCUAGGUGUUGGGGUGGCUACGUGCCACUUCAGUGCCGCAGGGAAGCCAUUAAGCUCGCCGCCUGGGGAGUACGGCCGCAAGGCUGAAACUUAAAGGAAUUGGCGGGGGAGCACCACAAGGCGUGAAGCUUGCGGUUC
Molecule: ribosomal RNA, 429 nt
Filed under: uncultured archaeon
Lineage: Archaea
Description: bacterial SSU rRNA
Rfam family: Archaeal small subunit ribosomal RNA
Source: RNAcentral